GAAAUGCGAUAAGUAAUGUGAAUUGCAGAAUUCAGUGAAUCAUCGAAUCUUUGAACGCACCUUGCGCUCCUUGGUAUUCCUUGGAGCAUGCCUGUUUGAGUAUCAUGAAAUCUUCAAAGUAAAUCUUUUGUUAACUCAAUUGGUUUCUACUUUGGUAUUGGAGGUCUUUGCAGCUUCACACCUGCUCCUCUUUGUUCAUUAGCUGGAUCUCAGUGUUAUGCUUGGUUCCACUCGGCGUGAUAAGUUAUCUAUCGCUGAGGACACUGUAAAAGGUGGCCAAGGUAAAUGCAGAUGAACCUCUUCUAAUAGUCCAUUGACUUGGACAAUACUUUUAUGAUCUGAUCUCAAAUCAGGUAGGACUACCCGCUGACCUUAAGC
Molecule: unclassified non-coding RNA, 378 nt
Filed under: plant metagenome
Description: partial contains 5.8S ribosomal RNA, internal transcribed spacer 2, and large subunit ribosomal RNA
Rfam family: 5.8S ribosomal RNA (bases 1-105)
Source: RNAcentral